RNAcentral lists this ribosomal RNA (625 nucleotides) under uncultured archaeon. RNAcentral's name for it is "bacterial SSU rRNA". It matches the Rfam family "Archaeal small subunit ribosomal RNA", at positions 146 to 774 of the family's 1478-position model. The record is from RNAcentral.
AUAAUAAUCCAUAGUAUUAGAGACACUGGGAAUGUUCUUUAUUCGAAAGUUCUGGCGCCUUAGGAUGGAUCUUCGGUCGAUUAGGUUGUUGUUGGGGUAACGGCCCAACAAGCCGGUAAUCGAUACGGGUUGUGGGAGCAAGAGCCCGGAGAUGGAAUCUGAGACACGAUUCCAGGCCCUACGGGGCGCAGCAGGCGCGAAAACUUUACAAUGCAGGAAACUGUGAUAAGGGAACUCCGAGUGCCCGUAUACGCGGGCUGUCCAGGUGUUUAAAAAUCAUCUGAAGAAAGGGCCGGGCAAGACCGGUGCCAGCCGCCGCGGUAAUACCGGCGGCUCGAGUGGUGGCCACUAUUAUUGGGCUUAAAGCGUCCGUAGCUGGACCGAUAAGUCUCUUGGGAAAUCCGCCGGCUCAACCGGCGGGCGUCUAAGGGAUACUGUUAGUCUAGGGACCGGGAGAGGUGAGAGGUACUCCGGGGGUAGGAGUGAAAUCCUGUAAUCCCCGGGGGACCACCGAUGGCGAAGGCAUCUCACCAGAACGGCUCCGACAGUGAGGGACGAAAGCUGGGGGAGCGAACCGGAUUAGAUACCCGGGUAGUCCCAGCCGUAAACUAUGCGCGUUAGGUGU